UGCAGUAAAUUUUGACAAUCAGCUGAUUGCAAUAAAUAAUUAAAACUGAAAUUGAAAUUUAAAAAUUUUAAAAUGGAAGUGGAAAGAAAAAAAUAUUGCAACAAUUGCUUUUACUUCUAGUUGCCCAAAAGAAAUUAAUUAAUAUUUUAAGCUUGUGCGCGAUAAGUGAUAAGAAAACACGGGUGUGGACGAUUCCUAUAUAUGCGGAAAAUGAGAGAGAGCUGCAUAGUUUUUUCAAUAAUUUAUUCAUCUAUAUAAAAAACAAUGAUUCCUCUUAGUUUCAAAAGGCUACUCGGAUGCAAGUGGAUCAAUUUAAGCUUCUUCUAAGCUUAAUUAAAAGGCGUAUAGAAAAACAGUUUCAUAUACGUCGUCCAAUACCAGCAGAAUGUCGCCUGGCAAUAACAUUAGUAUGGAGUUUGCCGCCAGAUGUUGGCUUGGGCUUUUCGAGUAGGAGUAUCAACAAUUGGCAAAAUUUUAUU
This is a long non-coding RNA of Bactrocera tryoni, 479 nucleotides long. RefSeq lists it as uncharacterized. The transcript has 2 exons. The record is from RefSeq and is a predicted model, not a curated record. Lineage: Eukaryota; Metazoa; Arthropoda; Insecta; Diptera; Tephritidae.